GCCGUAUUUUUAUUAGCUAUGUGCGUAUCUUCGUUCGUCGCAGUGAUCGAUUCACAUUAAGGUUUGCUAUAUUCGCAUUCCGUUUGUUCGCAUUGAUUCGCUAUUUGCAUGUAUUCGUUCUUCGCAGGGAUUCGCAUUUACAGAUAGAUAAGUAGAUGUUUUCAUCAUACCAACAUUGCAGCAUAGCUAGGCGGAAUUGCAUGUAUUGUACAUGCAAAUGUUUAGAUUAAG
Non-coding RNA from Paramuricea clavata, 231 nucleotides. The record is from the annotation of a GenBank genome assembly. Lineage: Eukaryota; Metazoa; Cnidaria; Anthozoa; Malacalcyonacea; Plexauridae.